GACGAACGCUGGCGGCGUGCUUAACACAAGCAAGUCGAACGGAGUGGCGAACGGGUGAGUAUUACGUGAGUAACCUGCCCUCAACUGGGGGAUAAGCCGGGGAAACUGGGUCUAAUACUGCAUAGUUGGGGAUGGGCUCGCGGCCUAUCAGCUUGUGGGGGGGGUGAUGGCCUACCAAGGCGGUGACGGGUAGCCGGCCUGAGAGGGUGGUGGGACACAUUGUGACCGCAAUACGGCCCCGACUCCUACGGGAGGCAGCAGUGGGGGAUAUUGCUCAAUGGGCGACAGCCUGAUGCAGUGAGGCCGCGUGAGGUAUGAAGUCUUUCGGGUUGUAGACCUCUUUCGGUACAGAACGGGUAUUUGCACAAGAAGCGCCGGCUAACUACGUGCCAGCAGCCGCGGUAAUUC
RNAcentral lists this ribosomal RNA (408 nucleotides) under uncultured bacterium. RNAcentral's name for it is "partial 16S ribosomal RNA". It matches the Rfam family "Bacterial small subunit ribosomal RNA", at positions 28 to 526 of the family's 1533-position model. The record is from RNAcentral.